UGGGGAAUUUUGGACAAUGGGCGAAAGCCUGAUCCAGCCAUGCCGCGUGAGUGAAGAAGGCCUUCGGGUUGUAAAGCUCUUUCGCGAGGGAAGAAAACUUAGCUAAUAACACUAGUUGAGGAUGACGGUACCUUGAUAAGAAGCACCGGCUAACUACGUGCCAGCAGCCGCGGUAAUACGUAGGGUGCGAGCGUUAAUCGGAAUUACUGGGCGUAAAGCGUGCGCAGGCGGUUUUGUAAGUCAGAUGUGAAAUCCCCGGGCUCAACCUGGGAACUGCGUUUGAAACUACAAGGCUAGAGUGUAGAAGAGGGGGGUAGAAUUCCACGUGUAGCAGUGAAAUGCGUAGAGAUGUGGAGGAAUACCGAUGGCGAAGGCAGCCCCCUGGGCUAACACUGACGCUCAUGCACGAAAGCGUGGGGAGCAAACAGG
Molecule: ribosomal RNA, 429 nt
Filed under: uncultured bacterium
Lineage: Bacteria
Description: bacterial SSU rRNA
Rfam family: Bacterial small subunit ribosomal RNA
Source: RNAcentral